RNAcentral lists this ribosomal RNA (426 nucleotides) under uncultured bacterium. RNAcentral describes it as "bacterial SSU rRNA". It matches the Rfam family "Bacterial small subunit ribosomal RNA", at positions 355 to 794 of the family's 1533-position model. The record is from RNAcentral.
UGGGGAAUAUUGGGCAAUGGGGGAAACCCUGACCCAGCAACGCCGCGUGAAGGAAGAAGGCCCUCGGGUUGUAAACGCCUUUUACCAGGGACGAAGAAUGUGACGGUACCUGGAGAAAAAGCAACGGCUAACUACGUGCCAGCAGCCGCGGUAAUACGUAGGGGGCAAGCGUUGUCCGGAAUGACUGGGCGUAAAGGGUGUGUAGGCGGUUUUACAAGUUAGAUGUGAAAUACCCAGGGCUUAACUCGGGUGCUGCAUCUAAGACUGUAAGACUUGAGUGUCGGAGAGGUAAAUGGAAUUCCUAGUGUAGCGGUGGAAUGCGUAGAUAUUAGGAGGAACACCAGUGGCGAAGGCGAUUUACUGGACGAUAACUGACGCUGAGGCACGAAAGCUGGGGGAGCAAACAGGAUUAGAUACCCUGGUAGU